This 28-nucleotide small RNA is filed under the name Bombyx mori (domestic silkworm). RNAcentral's name for it is "ovarian small RNA-19379". The record is from RNAcentral. Lineage: Eukaryota; Metazoa; Arthropoda; Insecta; Lepidoptera; Bombycidae.
UAAGUAUAUCUUUAAUGUGUGUCAUAGU